Molecule: long non-coding RNA, 400 nt
Organism: Ailuropoda melanoleuca (giant panda)
Lineage: Eukaryota; Metazoa; Chordata; Mammalia; Carnivora; Ursidae
Exons: 3
Source: RefSeq, a predicted model, not a curated record
UGCAGGGAGAAGACGCCGCUGAAAACCAGCUCUGACUGGCUCUGUGUUACAGAACUUGUACAAAAGCAUAAAAAGGAAGACUGCUGUUCAGCAUCCCCUCUACUCACAGCUGUCCCUUGACUUCUGGGUGCACCUUGCACUCACCCUGGACCAUCAGCAUCCGAGGGAAGUCGAAUGAGAAGCUCUCUGUUAAGUACUCAGGACACUCCCAGCUCAUGGUGAGUUCCCCGUCCACAUUGGGAAGAAACUGCUGCGGAAUUGUUCUCAGUGCUGUGGAGGUGUUCCCCUGAGGGGCUGACACCAGGCCUGCAGUGUUCGGCACGACUGCCCACCUGGGGCUUCGAGCUCCACCCUCCCCUGCCCCACUUGGCCUCCUUCUGCAGCCAUUAGCCCUCCUUAC